Molecule: non-coding RNA, 1946 nt
Organism: Xyrichtys novacula (pearly razorfish)
Lineage: Eukaryota; Metazoa; Chordata; Actinopteri; Labriformes; Labridae
Source: the annotation of a GenBank genome assembly
UUGCAAUAAGUUUGAGAAUAGCAAGCCGUUCGCAUUCAUUCAAUCGAUCGACGUCGUUACAGAAGCACACACCUUUCAAUACACAUUUGUAGAGCGAAACAACUGUAAGGAAAAUAUUAUUUUAAUCACCAUUUGACGAGUAUGGCAUGGUCUCAGAGAUUGUAUUCGUGCUAUUUACAACGGCGAUGCGCCGAAGAACUAGUGCAUGCUCUAUAUUACAGUUGAAAAGUGUAUAUGACAAGAUGAUUAACGUUUGCUUUUGUUAAAUCAGGGCUUCCCCAGCCAGGACUUCGGCUCAGACUGUGGCAUGUUCAUGUUGAUGGUAGGUCAUAACGAGCUGUGAUGCACAAAUAUUGUAGUAUCUAGAAUAACUUUCCAACAUGGACUUUUUCUCACAUGUUGUCUCAUAUUUUUUUUUAAGUCUGCCAUGUACAUUGUUAUGGAGUCACAGUUUGACUACUCAGUUGUAAGUACUUUUCAACAUGCAGUGUCAUCCUCAAGGUUGUAUUUUGUAUUGUGCACUAAAAUGAAAUACAAACAACAAUUUCAGCAUGACAUGCCUGUUUUGCGGAGAUGGUGGUGCCUGUUGCUCUUAGAAAACAAUUCUUUGAACGGGUAGACAGUUUAAGUAAACUAGAUGCCCUAUUGAACUGGAAGACAAUCAAUAUAUUGUACUUAAAGAUAUAUUGUCAUUACAGAUAUGGGGAAAAUCUUUGCCCACUGGACCAAAGAAUGUCAGGAGCUUAUUGCUGGAAAGCAUACUCCGGUCUUAAGUCUAAAGAGGAUGGCAGAGCAGCAGGACACAGAGGUUAGAAAAUUGCCUUCGAAAAACAGUCCUUCAAAAUGCACACAGUUGUAUGGAUCAACAUUGUCUCGAUGUAUUUGGUAAUUGAUGUUACUUUUCAAAUUGACUUGUCCAGGAAACUAUGACGCAUUGAUGUCCAAAGAGUGUGCAUGGCAGAUUCCAUGAAAUUCUGUGUCUACCAGACAUCCGACACCACAGGAGAGAGGUGUGUUGCAGACUCAAUUUAAUAAAUGCAAUUAUCGGGGCCUAUUCAGUGAUUUUCCAUGAAGUGACCACUUUUACAUGUAGUUUGAAUGCACGAAUCAUGUGGGAAAAUUAUUUAUACAUUCAAAUGUGCGAAGUAUAAACAAUUGGACAGUGUGUGUGUUUAAAAUUAAGUUUGUCUCUCAUUUGAUCAGAUUGCUUUACCCUGAGGUAAAGUUUGAAAAAUGGGUCCAGUGCAAGACAUGCAGGGGCUGGCUGCAUCAAGAUUGUGCCGGGAUUGACAUGGAGUCCUUUGACUGUGGCUGUGAGGACUCCAUUGAGCAUCCUCGGUAUAACAUAAUUUAUCAAGGAAACAUAGUAUCAGUCAAAAAUACGAGGCUCAAAGGAUGAAAAAAUGAGGGCUUGCUCUUUUUCUUAUUUCUCUGCAGGAUCAAGGCUGCCGUUGACAGUGGAGGAAUUGGUGCUGUCUUUUCUAAGACACAGAUCAAGGUUGCUUUUGAAUGCAUUAUCAGUUGUUAAAGCCACCGUUUCUUUUACAGAUGAUUACAUUUUUGUCUCUUGCUCUUUGGUUUCAGACAUUGCACGAUGAUCUGCUCUCUGGAAACAUCCGCUCCAACAGGAUGUUUCUUUAGAGGAAACCCGCCACCUCACUCCGGCUCAAGCAGCAUCUAAAGAUAAGGUCACUAUGUUGGAGUGAGCAGCGCCUAAGUAAAAAUGCCAUCUAUCAUGAGUAUUUUUACUCUCGUAGGUGUUACAUUUGAAAGGUGUUUACUUUCUGUGUUUUUCUUCAAUAGAUGUUCUAGCUCCUGCGGUUUAUUGAGGAGGCAACAACCAUAUCGGAAAAAAUCAAAAGAGGCGAGAUUCACCUGCUUGAUUUUGUCUUUGAUGUCAUGCUCCCAGAGGUGAGUAGAUCAAACUAUAUAGCUUGCUUUGAAAA